Molecule: ribosomal RNA, 464 nt
Filed under: uncultured bacterium
Lineage: Bacteria
Description: partial 16S ribosomal RNA
Rfam family: Bacterial small subunit ribosomal RNA
Source: RNAcentral
CUACGGGGGGCUCCAGUGGGGAAUAUUGCACAAUGGGCGCAAGCCUGAUGCAGCCAUGCCGCGUGUAUGAAGAAGGCCUUCGGGUUGUAAAGUACUUUCAGCGGGGAGGAAGGGAGUAAAGUUAAUACCUUUGCUCAUUGACGUUACCCGCAGAAGAAGCACCGGCUAACUCCGUGCCAGCAGCCGCGGUAAUACGGAGGGUGCAAGCGUUAAUCGGAAUUACUGGGCGUAAAGCGCACGCAGGCGGUUUGUUAAGUCGGAUGUGAAAUCCCCGGGCUCAACCUGGGAACUGCAUCUGAUACUGGCAAGCCUGAGUGUCGUAGAGGGGGGUAGAAUUCCAGGUGUAGCGGUGAAAUGCGUAGAGAUCUGGAGGAAUACCGGUGGCGAAGGCGGCCCCCUGGACGAAGACUGACGCUCAGGUGCGAAAGCGUGGGGAGCAAACAGGAUUAGAUACCCGAGUAGUC